RNAcentral lists this ribosomal RNA (465 nucleotides) under Streptococcus mitis. RNAcentral's name for it is "bacterial SSU rRNA". It matches the Rfam family "Bacterial small subunit ribosomal RNA", at positions 33 to 484 of the family's 1533-position model. The record is from RNAcentral. Lineage: Bacteria; Bacillati; Bacillota; Bacilli; Lactobacillales; Streptococcaceae.
ACGCUGGCGGCGUGCCUAAUACAUGCAAGUAGACGCUGAAGGAGGAGCUUGCUUCUCUGGAUGAGUUGCGAACGGGUGAGUAACGCGUAGGUAACCUGCCUGGUAGCGGGGGAUAACUAUUGGAAACGAUAGCUAAUACCGCAUAAGAGUAGAUGUUGCAUGACAUUUGCUUAAAAGGUGCAAUUGCAUCACUACCAGAUGGACCUGCGUUGUAUUAGCUAGUUGGUGAGGUAACGGCUCACCAAGGCGACGAUACAUAGCCGACCUGAGAGGGUGAUCGGCCACACUGGGACUGAGACACGGCCCAGACUCCUACGGGAGGCAGCAGUAGGGAAUCUUCGGCAAUGGACGGAAGUCUGACCGAGCAACGCCGCGUGAGUGAAGAAGGUUUUCGGAUCGUAAAGCUCUGUUGUAAGAGAAGAACGAGUGUGAGAGUGGAAAGUUCACACUGUGACGGUUCUUCCA